RNAcentral lists this ribosomal RNA (274 nucleotides) under uncultured bacterium. RNAcentral's name for it is "partial 16S ribosomal RNA". It matches the Rfam family "Bacterial small subunit ribosomal RNA", at positions 523 to 796 of the family's 1533-position model. The record is from RNAcentral.
AGACGGAGGGAGCAAGCGUUGCUCGGAAUCACUGGGCGUAAAGGGCGUGUAGGCGGGACGGUAAGUCGGGUGUGAAAGCCCUGGGCUCAACCCAGGAAGUGCAUUCGAAACUACCGUUCUUGAGUAUGGCAGAGGAGAGUGGAAUUCCCGGUGUAGCGGUGAAAUGCGUAGAUAUCGGGAAGAACACCAGUGGCGAAGGCGGCUCUCUGGGCCAUAACUGACGCUAAGGAGCGAAAGCUAGGGGAGCGAACGGGAUUAGAAACCCGAGUAGUCC